RNAcentral lists this ribosomal RNA (253 nucleotides) under uncultured bacterium. Its description in RNAcentral is "partial 16S ribosomal RNA". It matches the Rfam family "Bacterial small subunit ribosomal RNA", at positions 524 to 776 of the family's 1533-position model. The record is from RNAcentral.
UACGUAGGGUGCGAGCGUUGUCCGGAAUUAUUGGGCGUAAAGAGCUCGUAGGCGGUGUGUCGCGUCGGUCGUGAAAACUUGGGGCUUAACCCUGAGCUUGCAGUCGAUACGGGCAGGCUAGAGUUCGGCAGGGGAGACUGGAAUUCCUGGUGUAGCGGUGAAAUGCGCAGAUAUCAGGAGGAACACCGGUGGCGAAGGCGGGUCUCUGGGCCGAUACUGACGCUGAGGAGCGAAAGCGUGGGGAGCGAACAGG